This is a long non-coding RNA of Crotalus tigris (Tiger rattlesnake), 1112 nucleotides long. RefSeq lists it as uncharacterized. The transcript is spliced from 2 exons. The record is from RefSeq and is a predicted model, not a curated record. NCBI's taxonomy places the organism in Eukaryota, Metazoa, Chordata, Lepidosauria, Squamata, Viperidae.
UAGAAAAGCUUUAAUUCUCACGUUGGACAGAAAUGAUUGAAAAUUCAUUCCCUUUCUCAUGAGCGAAAAUGAGACCAGACUUCUCAUGGGUCAGACCUGGAGAUCUGAUCAUCCAUGUAUGACCCAUUGGAAAGUCUGGAAAGAGAUAUGGAGUGUACAGAUGUAGAAUCAACUGAGCUGCUUCCAUACACCUCUCUGAAGUUCAAGCCUGCAUUCUUUUACAAUAGCAGAAGUCUGUCUGAAUGGAGAAAUGAUAAACUGGUUUUUCCUAGGAGGACUCUUAACUCUUGGGAUGAUUUGGGAUGCCAUGGUAAAUUUUCUACAAGUUGAUUAUAAUAACAAUUUGUUAACAGAGGUUUUUGAAGCUUUAACCUUGUCUUUUUUAUUAUUGUUGUUCUUCCUGCUAACUAUUUUGUCAUUAAUAUAAUGGAUUAUAGAUCAAUAAUUUGCAAAUAGAUUUAGUAGUUUAAUUUUUUUUUUCUGGCCCUGUUUCACAAGGGGUGGGAAACCAAUAUUGUAGUUAAUGUAUUAAUCAGUAUUCAAUUAGGAGGGAUAAUGCAUUUUUAAUGCAUCAUUUUGUAACGUCUUGUUUGUUUUGCGUUUUUUUAUUUGAUUUUUUAAAAUUUGUUGGAGUUUUCAAUUUUAAUUUUUUUCCCAAAUAAAAUAGAGUCUUAAAAAAAGAAAAUUGCUGAAUAUUAGGUGGCAGAUAAGACACCCUUUUUAGUGAAAAAUGAGGGAGCCAUUUUGUUUGUUCUCUAAGGCAAAACAUUCCACUGGAUUUAUUUUGUUCUGAGCUUGAAAUAUUGCUAUAUUAUCAUAUCAGAUACUCUCUGUGAAAGUUUUUCUACCUCUAAUUAUUGCAGUUAGAACUGUGUGUGUCAAUGUCUUUUAAUAAAAAAGCUUCAAUCUUUCAUAUAAUAGAAAAUAUGCAGCAGACAUAGGAGUAGAAAAAUUACUUAAUAUCAAUGUGAAAACAAAGCCAAACUUGGUAAACUUUUUUUAAAGAAAAGAUUUCCUGAAACAUUACAAAAUGCAACUUAAUUUUGAGAAAUUAUGUGUUUCUGACUAUUAAAUGAAUGAGUGGAAGUGAAAUAAAAAUCAGAGAAAACAGA